RNAcentral lists this ribosomal RNA (352 nucleotides) under uncultured bacterium. RNAcentral describes it as "bacterial SSU rRNA". It matches the Rfam family "Bacterial small subunit ribosomal RNA", at positions 8 to 353 of the family's 1533-position model. The record is from RNAcentral.
AGAGUUUGAUCAUGGCUCAGGACGAACGCUGGCGGCGCGCCUAACACAUGCAAGUCGAACGAGAGAGAAGGAGCUUGCUUCUUCGAUCGAGUGGCGAACGGGUGAGUAACGCGUGAGGAACCUGCCUCAAAGAGGGGGACAACAGUUGGAAACGACUGCUAAUACCGCAUAAGCCCACGGGUCGGCAUCGACCAGAGGGAAAAGGAGCAAUCCGCUUUGAGAUGGCCUCGGCGUCCGAUUAGCUAGUUGGUGAGGUAACGGCCCACCAAGGCGACGAUCGGUAGCCGGACUGAGAGGUUGAACGGCCACCAUUGGGACUGAGACACGGCCCAGACUCCUACGGGAGGCAGCA